ACGAAGCUGGAAUCGCUAGUAAUCGUGAAUCAGAAUGUCACGGUGAAUACGUUCCCGGGUCUUGUACACACCGCCCGUCACACCAUGGGAGUCAGCAACGCCCGAAGUCAGUGACCUAACCGAGAGGGAGGAGCUGCCGAAGGCGGGGCCGGUAACUGGGGUGAAGUCGUAACAAGGUACC
RNAcentral lists this ribosomal RNA (181 nucleotides) under uncultured bacterium. Its description in RNAcentral is "partial 16S ribosomal RNA". It matches the Rfam family "Bacterial small subunit ribosomal RNA", at positions 1320 to 1500 of the family's 1533-position model. The record is from RNAcentral.